This 459-nucleotide ribosomal RNA is filed under the name uncultured bacterium. Its description in RNAcentral is "partial 16S ribosomal RNA". It matches the Rfam family "Bacterial small subunit ribosomal RNA", at positions 338 to 795 of the family's 1533-position model. The record is from RNAcentral.
CCUACGGGCGGCAGCAGUGAGGAAUAUUGGUCAAUGGGCGCGAGCCUGAACCAGCCAAGUCGCGUGAGGGAAGACGGCCCUAUGGAUUGUAAACCUCUUUUGUCGGGGAGCAACAGACGCUACGCGUAGCGUUCCGCGAGUACCCGAAGAAAAAGCAUCGGCUAACUCCGUGCCAGCAGCCGCGGUAAUACGGAGGAUGCGAGCGUUAUCCGGAUUUAUUGGGUUUAAAGGGUGCGCAGGCGGAAGAUCAAGUGUGCGGUAAAAUUGAGGGGCUCAACCUCGUCGGGCCGUUGAAACUGGUGUGCUUGAGUCAGUGAGAAGUAUGCGGAAUGCGUGGUGUAGCGGUGAAAUGCAUAGAUAUCACGAAGAACUCCGAUUGCGAAGGCAGCAUACCGGCGCUCAACUGACGCUGAUGCACGAAAGUGCGGGUAUCGAACAGGAUUAGAUACCCUAGUAGUC